UACGUAGGGUGCAAGCGUUAAUCGGAAUUACUGGGCGUAAAGCGUGCGCAGGCGGUGAUGUAAGACAGAUGUGAAAUCCUGGAGCUCAACUCCAGAACUGCCUUUGAUACUGGCGAGCUUGAGUUCGGGAGAGGUGAGUGGAACUGCGAGUGUAGAGGUGAAAUGCGUAGAUAUCGGGAGGAACACCAGUGGCGAAGGCGGCUUCCUGGCCUGUUCUUGACGCUGAGGCGCGAAAGCUAGGGGAGCAAACGGG
Molecule: ribosomal RNA, 253 nt
Filed under: uncultured bacterium
Lineage: Bacteria
Description: partial 16S ribosomal RNA
Rfam family: Bacterial small subunit ribosomal RNA
Source: RNAcentral